RNAcentral lists this transfer RNA (72 nucleotides) under Cavia porcellus (domestic guinea pig). It matches the Rfam family "tRNA". From Rfam's summary of the family: Transfer RNA (tRNA) molecules are approximately 80 nucleotides in length. The record is from Rfam by way of RNAcentral. Lineage: Eukaryota; Metazoa; Chordata; Mammalia; Rodentia; Caviidae.
GGUGGUGUAGCUCAGUGGGAGAGUGCUUGCCUCGCAUGCAAAAGGCCAGAGGUUUGAUUCCCAGCACUGCAA